This 253-nucleotide ribosomal RNA is filed under the name uncultured bacterium. RNAcentral's name for it is "partial 16S ribosomal RNA". It matches the Rfam family "Bacterial small subunit ribosomal RNA", at positions 524 to 776 of the family's 1533-position model. The record is from RNAcentral.
UACGAAGGGGGCUAGCGUUGUUCUGAAUUACUGGGCGUAAAGCGCACGUAGGCGGGUUGUUAAGUCAGGGGUGAAAUCCUGGAGCUCAACUCCAGAACUGCCUUUGAUACUGGCAACCUAGAGACUGGAAGAGGUUAGUGGAAUUCCCAGUGUAGAGGUGAAAUUCGUAGAUAUUGGGAAGAACACCAGUGGCGAAGGCGGCUAACUGGUCCAGCACUGACGCUGAGGUGCGAAAGCGUGGGGAGCAAACAGG